Molecule: ribosomal RNA, 428 nt
Filed under: uncultured prokaryote
Description: bacterial SSU rRNA
Rfam family: Bacterial small subunit ribosomal RNA
Source: RNAcentral
UCGAGGAUCAUGCACAAUGGGGGAAACCCUGAUGCUGCGACGCCGCGUGGAGGAUGAAGGUCUUCGGAUUGUAAAUUCCUGUCAUCAGCGAGUAGGCCGCAGGCGGUGAAUAUCCGUUUGUGGUGACAGUAGCUGAAGAGGAAGGGACGGCUAACUUCGUGCCAGCAGCCGCGGUAAUACGAAGGUCCCAAGCGUUGUUUGGAAUCACUGGGCGUAAAGGGUGCGUAGGCGGCGCGGAAAGGCCGAUGUGAAAGCCCGGGGCUCAACCCCGGAACUGCAUCCGAUACUCCCGCGCUAGAGGGCCGGAGAGGAGUCUGGAAUUCACGGUGUAGCAGUGAAAUGCGUAGAUAUCGUGAGGAACACUAAUUGCGAAGGCAAGACUCUGGACGGCUCCUGACGCUGAGGCACGAAGGCCGGGGGAGCGAACA